This is a long non-coding RNA of Biomphalaria glabrata, 3227 nucleotides long. RefSeq lists it as uncharacterized. The record is from RefSeq and is a predicted model, not a curated record. The transcript has 4 exons. NCBI's taxonomy places the organism in Eukaryota, Metazoa, Mollusca, Gastropoda, Planorbidae.
UGCUCGUUCUUUUGUCGGGUCUCGCUCCAACACUAACACAGUAGUAACACAACAAAUUUGUCAACAUCUUCUUAUCUUAUCUUAUAUAAUACAGACGUUACUUCAAAAAAGAAGAUGAUUACGUCCUACGCGUCAUGCAUUUAGUCAUGCAUAUUAACCAAUGACUUAAAUUCUGCCAAGUCACUGGUUUUCCUGGCUAGCUCAGGCAACCCAUUCCAUGCUCUAAUAGCACUAGGGAAGCAAGCAUAAGUAGAAAUAAGCCUAUCAUCUUGUAUGUAGACAUACCAUUAUCAGGUAUUUAAGCAUCAAAAAGUUUGUAGACAUGAACAAUAACUAGACUUCAAAAAAAGUCUGUAAUCAUAGGCUAUCAACUAUUUUCUUCCUUGUAAAUACAUUUUUGUCUAUACAAGUUGUAUUUUUCAACAUAAUAUGUAGUGAAUUUAUGAAGAUGUUGUCACUUAUACUUAACAACUGUAUCUCUCCUAAUUAACGAUACCAUCGUUGAUUUGACGCCAUUAAAUUUAAUUAAUUUUUGGUUUUAUAAACUUUAUUUUUUUUUGUUAUAUAAAAAGAGCAUGCAUUCUCAUAUAAUUCUAUACCAAAAGUAAUGUUUUCAGGAUAGAAUGUACAAAUGUGAAAAAUGAACAAUUCAGUCAGAACAUGGAAAAAUAAUUACGGAGAUAAAGAAUUAAUACUCUUACGUGAUAUGAUUGACUGGUUUUGUUAUUAGCAUCUUAUGAACUUACAAUUUUUUUAUAUUUCAGAUGUUUUAAAAUCCCAUUGGUAUGUCUAUAUUUUUCUAUACAAUAGCAGUCAUCCAUAAAUCUUAUUUUACGGACUGAUACGCAAAUGAACUACCAAAAUAUCAAGCAUAUUAAAGUCUGAACAGUUAAACCUCCAAUCAAAACAUACUUUGAAUGUCAUAUCAAAUUCGAAGUAGAAUGAAUGACACGACAUAGUUAUCAUGCGAGAGCGUCUCAGAAGGGACAGGCCAGGACUGAACAAAUAUACACAAUGGCAAGCUUGAGAAACGGCAACUCAGUCGCCAUGACACCAGGAACACUGACACUGCAAUAUCUGUUCUUGAUAUUAUAUCCUUAAUAUAUCCUUUAAGUGGCAGGCUGAUUGUAACUGUUGGUUUGUGUGUAUCUUUAGACAUCACAUGAUCCUUCUUCCCAAUAUAAUAUAUAUAGAUCUAGGUCUUUGUUCUGAACUCACAUUUUCUUACAUAGGUAAUAAAGCCAAAAAAAAAAAAAAAGGUUAAGAGUAAGAUCACAGACCUACAUAAUCUAGAUUAGAUUUUCGAAACGCGACAUAUUUUGUUAUCUCUAUGGAAACUAAAUGGAAAUAAGUUAUGAUUAUAUCAUAGAUUUGCGUGAAUAUAUUUCUGAAGUUGUGAUUAAUAGAUCUAUCCACUUCUAGACUAGAUCUAUUUUAAAUCCGCGAAAUAGGAUUGUACUAUUUUUUAACUUUAAAAACUAAAGAUCAUUAUUUUUCUGAGACGUAACUACAAAGAGUAAGACUAAGAGUGAUAAUGAUAUCCUGGAAUGCUGGAUUAAGUUUAAGAUCCAAAAGGCCAAGGUGAAUUCCCUUCUAACUUCUUCACAACACAAAUUGUCGUAUUAGAUCUAGAUCUAUAAGAUGAAACCAUGUUGGUCAUUAGUCAUUGAUGUUUAAAAUUGUAAUAGCCUACUAGAGUCUAUCUACUAUCUAGUAAGCCAUAGAGUUGAUAAAGUAAGCUUACACUGUUACACUAGAAACAAACAAAUAAGUUUAAAAGUCAGGCCACUGAUUUUAGAGAUUUAAUGUUAUUUAAUUAAGAUUCAAAACAUAAAUGAAAAAAUUACAAUGAGACUAAUAAAGCUUAAACUGACCCCAUGGUACCAAACUCAGGAUUUUUUUAUAGUACUGGUAACUGAGGAAGGUUUAUUACAGGCAUGAGUUUGAUCUUUUUGAAACUAAUUCCUAAAAAAAAAUGUUUCCUAGGCAACUUCAAAACUACGGUACUUUGUCAACUAUCCAGAGAUUCAGGGGAAUGAAAUCUUAGACUAUUUAUUUAAGAUGUUCCUUCAGAGUUGAAAACAACUACAUUCUAGCUUGAACGUCCCACAAGAAGAUGUGGGGUGGCAGCAGGCAGGGGUCUAACCUAGGAUCAUGGAGACCACCAAACGAUAGUCCAGAGUGUAUAUGAUUAAUUGAGUAGACAAAGAAGGGAUGGAUUACUGGAGCUAAAAGAAGGCAUAAUUUAACAAUAGACUACUUUGGGAUAUGGAAUGAGAGAGGCUAUAGUGUUGAUUAUAUAAAUAUGUAGGUCUCAGCUGGGGCUGCACAGCCAUGGGAAAUACUGCAUUCCUAACUUAUCUUAGGACUUAUUAUAAAGCUGCCAUUAUCCAAGGACAUAUGAUUCUCUGGAGGCUUACAUCACUGGAAAAAGUCUUUGGGCCCCUGAAGAUUACAGAACAUGUAAUGCUGCAAAAGGAGGAGAAUGCUGGGCCAGGGUAAACACUCCAUAACAUAAUGGCAUAGUGAAUGAAAUAACAUUUUAUUUUAGUGUAUAAUAGUUGUAAUUUUAGUCUAAAAUAUUUAAAUAAAUGUUACAGUAUAAGCCAGUUCCUGAAUUAGCUUGUCACAAUGCACAUUCAGCCAAAGUUAAAAAUUCUUGAAUAAAGUUAUCUCUAUUGUACUUAAGCUAGCUAUAUCCUGUAUAGGCAAAAGAUUGGCAGCAAUUCUCUCUGCAAAUGAUGAUGUGCUGAUUCAUAAUGGAACAUUUGAUUUUUUUAAAGGGGGGGGGGGAGGACUUGUUAAGUGGUUAAGUGCAGCUAUUUUGAGCUAGAGUUUUCAGGUUCAAAUCUUGGUCAAGAUUGUUUUUGAAUUUCAGGAUCAUAGAGUGCCUCAAGUCUGUGCAAUUUUAAUGACAUUAGUUGGGGAGAGUAAAGAAGGUUUAUCAUUGUGCUGGCCAUAUCAUGAUACCUUUAUAACUGUAGGCCACAGAAACAGAUGACAUUUACAUCAUCUGCCCUAUAGAUUGCAAGUUUUAAAAGGCAUUCUUAUUACAUUUUUAUCCGCAACUAUUCUAAAAAUUAUAAUCAUUUUUUCAGACAUUUUUUUCUUUUCUGAGCCACUAAAUUGAUGAUUAUGUUAAAUCAACAAUUGAUUUUAAAAUAAUAUUUCUGAUUUACUUUGAUGCAAGAAAAAGCUAAUAUUAUAAGCAAUACUUACUAUAGUCA